UAGGGAAUAUUGGUCAAUGGUCGAGAGACUGAACCAGCCAUGCCGCGUGCAGGAAGACGGCCCUCUGGGUUGUAAACUGCUUUUGACAGGGGCCAAAAUAUCCAUGCGUGGAGACUUGAGAGUACCUGUAGAAUAAGCACCGGCUAACUCCGUGCCAGCAGCCGCGGUAAUACGGAGGGUGCAAGCGUUGUCCGGAUUUAUUGGGUUUAAAGGGAGCGUAGGUGGCUUUUUAAGUCAGUGGUGAAAUCCUCCAGCUUAACUGGAGACGUGCCAUUGAUACUGAUUAGCUUGAGUACUGAUGAGGUAGGCGGAAUUGAAGGUGUAGCGGUGAAAUGCAUAGAUAUCUUCAAGAACACCGAUUGCGAAGGCAGCUUACUAAGGAGUAACUGACACUGAGGCUCGAAAGCGUGGGGAUCGAACAGGAUUAGAUACCCCGGUAGUCC
Molecule: ribosomal RNA, 443 nt
Filed under: uncultured bacterium
Lineage: Bacteria
Description: bacterial SSU rRNA
Rfam family: Bacterial small subunit ribosomal RNA
Source: RNAcentral